This 275-nucleotide ribosomal RNA is filed under the name uncultured bacterium. Its description in RNAcentral is "partial 16S ribosomal RNA". It matches the Rfam family "Bacterial small subunit ribosomal RNA", at positions 79 to 353 of the family's 1533-position model. The record is from RNAcentral.
CUAAGUUUGAUGGCGACCGGCGCACGGGUGAGUAACACGUAUCCAACCUGCCAAUGACUCGGGGAUAGCCUUUCGAAAGAAAGAUUAAUACCCGAUGGCAUAGUUCUUCCGCAUGGUAGAACUAUUAAAGAAUUUCGGUCAUCGAUGGGGAUGCGUUCCAUUAGGUUGUUGGCGGGGUAACGGCCCACCAAGCCUUCGAUGGAUAGGGGUUCUGAGAGGAAGGUCCCCCACAUUGGAACUGAGACACGGUCCAAACUCCUACGGGAGGCAGCAUG